Long non-coding RNA from Anneissia japonica, 250 nucleotides. RefSeq lists it as uncharacterized. Lineage: Eukaryota; Metazoa; Echinodermata; Crinoidea; Comatulida; Comatulidae. The transcript has 2 exons. The record is from RefSeq and is a predicted model, not a curated record.
UUUUGUUUAGUCAUAUUCACCUGAAGAAUUAAAAGAUUGGGUUCAAGCUAUCUGUGGAGCCAUCUUAGCAGCAAGGGCGAAAGGGGGAAGUUCAGGAAAUAAUUCUCUUGUACCCCAGAUGUUAGUUACCAGCACACUCCCUGCUCUGUCCUGGCCUGCUAGGUCAUUGUCACAACCUGAUCCUACUGAAAAUAAAACUCAUCCCUUUUCGCAACUUUCCCAGAGAGGGACACUACAGAUUACGUCAAAG